This 252-nucleotide ribosomal RNA is filed under the name uncultured bacterium. RNAcentral describes it as "partial 16S ribosomal RNA". It matches the Rfam family "Bacterial small subunit ribosomal RNA", at positions 524 to 776 of the family's 1533-position model. The record is from RNAcentral.
UACGUAGGGGGCAAGCGUUGUCCGGAAUCAUUGGGCGUAAAGCGCGCGUAGGUGGCCACAUAAGUCCGUUGUGAAAGUCAAAGGCUCAACCUUUGAAAGCCGAUGGAUACUGUGUGGCUAGAGUACGGAAGAGGCGAGUGGAAUUCCUGGUGUAGCGGUGGAAUGCGCAGAUAUCAGGAGGAACACCAUAGCGAAGGCAGCUCGCUGGGACGUUACUGACACUGAGGCGCGAAAGCGUGGGGAGCGAACAGG